RNAcentral lists this ribosomal RNA (723 nucleotides) under uncultured Enterobacteriaceae bacterium. RNAcentral's name for it is "bacterial SSU rRNA". It matches the Rfam family "Bacterial small subunit ribosomal RNA", at positions 780 to 1502 of the family's 1533-position model. Lineage: Bacteria; Pseudomonadati; Pseudomonadota; Gammaproteobacteria; Enterobacterales; Enterobacteriaceae. The record is from RNAcentral.
AGAUACCCUGGUAGUCCACGCUGUAAACGAUGUCGAUUUGGAGUUUGGGGGCAUGACCCUUGGGCUCCGGAGCUAACGCGUUAAAUCGACCGCCUGGGGAGUACGGCCGCAAGGUUAAAACUCAAAUGAAUUGACGGGGGCCCGCACAAGCGGUGGAGCAUGUGGUUUAAUUCGAUGCAACGCGAAGAACCUUACCUGGUCUUGACAUCCAUAGAAUCUUUCAGAGAUGAGAGAGUGCCUUCGGGAGCUAUGAGACAGGUGCUGCAUGGCUGUCGUCAGCUCGUGUUGUGAAAUGUUGGGUUAAGUCCCGCAACGAGCGCAACCCCUAUCCUUUGUUGCCAGCACGUAAUGGUGGGAACUCAAAGGAGACUGCCGUUGAUAAAGCGGAGGAAGGUGGGGACGACGUCAAGUCAUCAUGGCCCUUACGACCAGGGCUACACACGUGCUACAAUGGCGUAUACAAAGGGAUGCGAAGGUGCGAACUGGAGCGGACCUCACAAAGUACGUCUAAGUCCGGAUUGGAGUCUGCAACUCGACUCCAUGAAGUCGGAAUCGCUAGUAAUCGUGAAUCAGAAUGUCACGGUGAAUACGUUCCCGGGCCUUGUACACACCGCCCGUCACACCAUGGGAGUGGGUUGCACCAGAAGUAGAUAGCUUAACCUUCGGGAGGGCGUUUACCACGGUGUGGUUCAUGACUGGGGUGAAGUCGUAACAAGGUAACCA